This 339-nucleotide unclassified non-coding RNA is filed under the name soil metagenome. RNAcentral's name for it is "partial contains 5.8S ribosomal RNA, internal transcribed spacer 2, and large subunit ribosomal RNA". The stretch from base 1 to 120 matches the Rfam family "5.8S ribosomal RNA", at positions 35 to 154 of the family's 154-position model. The record is from RNAcentral.
GAUGAAGAACGCAGUGAAAUGCGAUAACUAAUGUGAAUUGCAGAAUUCAGUGAAUCAUCGAGUCUUUGAACGCACAUUGCGCCCCCUGGUAUUCCGGGGGGCAUGCCUGUCCGAGCGUCAUUGCUGCCCUCAAGCACGGCUUGUGUGUUGGGCUCCGUCCCCCCGGGGACGGGCCCGAAAGGCAGCGGCGGCACCGAGUCCGGUCCUCGAGCGUAUGGGGCUUUGUCACCCGCUCUGUAGGCCCGGCCGGCGCCAGCCGACAUCCCAUCAUCCUUUUCAGGUUGACCUCGGAUCAGGUAGGGAUACCCGCUGAACUUAAGCAUAUCAAUAAGCGGAGGA